CACCAUACUCACAGUUUCAGGGCUUGUACCUGCCAUAGAUAGCAUUGAGUCACUUCAAGCAAGCGAUGCACUUGUUGGUCAUUUUGGUGUAUCAUUUGUUGCAAAAUAUUUGGAGGAGGUGUUGCACUUUAAGCCCAGAAACAUGAAAAAUUAUUCCUCGCCUGAAGAUUGUGCUAAGGAACUUCGAAAUGGAGGAAUUGAAGCUGUUUUUCUUGAAAAACCAAUUGCCAAAUUAUUCCUUGCUAGAUUCUGCUGGGGCUUUGCCAUAGCUGGACCAUCUUUCAAAGUAGGAGGCUUUGCAUUUGCAUUUGCAAAGGGCUCUCCGCUACUUCAUGAAGUAACAGAAGCACUAGUGAAAGUAACAGAGAGUGGUGAGCUUCAAGAACUAGAAAAAGCAAUGAUUGGUUCUCAAAAGUGUGUAGUAAAUCAAGAGGAAUCAUCAGAAUUAGAAGAUGAGACAUUCAGCCUAAGCCCCAGCAGCUUUUGGAUGCUUUUCAUAAUAACUGGAGGCACAUCAACACUUGCUCUCCUCAUUUAUGUUUUUUACUACAAGCAUAAAAUUCAAGAAUUUGGCCUUGUCCAUGGAAUCGUAUGGAUGCUAAUGUACUUUGACGUAGUGAGGCGUUGGAAGCAUCACGAAAAUCAACUCUCUCGGGCUCAAAGAUUGCAUGCCAAUGACCAUGAAGCUCCAAGUCCAAGAAAUUCUUCAACCACUGCUUCAAGAAUUGUGAACUCAAGUUUAGCUAUCGACUCCAUGCCAUAGAUCAG
RNAcentral lists this unclassified non-coding RNA (768 nucleotides) under Hevea brasiliensis (rubber tree). Lineage: Eukaryota; Viridiplantae; Streptophyta; Magnoliopsida; Malpighiales; Euphorbiaceae. The record is from RNAcentral.